Molecule: ribosomal RNA, 894 nt
Filed under: uncultured archaeon
Lineage: Archaea
Description: bacterial SSU rRNA
Rfam family: Archaeal small subunit ribosomal RNA
Source: RNAcentral
UUUCCGGGUUGAUCCUGCCAGGAGGGCUACUGCUAUCGGGGUUCGAUUAAGCCAUGCGAGUUAAAUGUUCUUUGUGAACAUAGCGAACUGCUCAGUAACACGUGGAUAACCUACCCUUAGGACCGGAAUAACCCCGGGAAACUGGGGAUAAUACCGGAUAAGCCAUAGACGCUGGAAUGCCCUAUGGUUCAAAGCUCCGGCGCCUAAGGAUGGAUCUGCGGUCUAUCAGGUUGUAGUGGGUGUAACGUACCUACUAGCCGACGACGGAUACGGGUUGUGAGAGCAAGAGCCCGGAGAUGGAUUCUGAGACACGAAUCCAGGCCCUACGGGGUGCAGCAGGCGCGAACACUUUACAAUGCGGGAAACCGCGAUAAGGGAACCCCGAGUGCCAGCAUCAAAUGUUGGCUGUCCAGAUGAUUAAAAAUCAUUUGUUAGCAAGGGCCGGGCAAGACCGGUGCCAGCCGCCGCGGUAACACCGGCGGCCCGAGUGGUAGCCGUUUUUAUUGGGUCUAAAGGGUCCGUAGCCGGCUUGAUAAGUCCUUUGGGAAAUCUGGCAGCUUAACUGUCAGGCUUCUAAGGGAUACUGUCAGGCUUGGGACCGGAAGAGGUAAGGGGUACUCCAGGGGUAGGAGUGAAAUCUUGUAAUCCCUGGGGGACCAUCUGUGGCGAAGGCGCCUUACCAGAACGGGUCCGACGGUGAGGGACGAAAGCUAGGGGAGCAAACCGGAUUAGAUACCCGGGUAGUCCUAGCUGUAAACGAUGCUCGCUAGGUGUCAGACACGGUGCGACCGUGUUUGGUGCCGCAGGGAAGCCGUUAAGCGAGCCACCUGGGAAGUACGGUCGCAGAGGCUGAAACUAAGAGGAAUGGCGGGCAGCAACUAAAACCGAUGGACC